This 391-nucleotide ribosomal RNA is filed under the name uncultured bacterium. Its description in RNAcentral is "bacterial SSU rRNA". It matches the Rfam family "Bacterial small subunit ribosomal RNA", at positions 28 to 417 of the family's 1533-position model. The record is from RNAcentral.
GACGAACGCUGGCGGCGUGCUUAACACAUGCAAGUCGAGCGGUAAGGCCCUUUCGGGGGUACACGAGCGGCGAACGGGUGAGUAACACGUGGGUGACCUGCCCUCAGCUCUGGGAUAAGCCUGGGAAACCGGGUCUAAUACUGGAUAUGACUCCAUGACGCAUGUUGUGGGGUGGAAAGCCUUGUGCGGCUGAGGAUGGGCCCGCGGCCUAUCAGCCUUGUUGGGUGGGGUGANGGCCCUACCAAGGCGACGACGGGUAGCCGGCCUGAGAGGGCGACCGGCCACACUGGGACUGAGACACGGCCCAGACUCCUACGGGAGGCAGCAGUGGGGAACCUUGCGCAAUGGGCGAAAGCCUGACGCAGCGACGCCGCGUGAGGGAUGACGGCCU